Molecule: non-coding RNA, 30 nt
Filed under: Rattus norvegicus (Norway rat)
Lineage: Eukaryota; Metazoa; Chordata; Mammalia; Rodentia; Muridae
Source: RNAcentral
ACCAUGUUCACAUUAGAUGAACGAGUUGCC